This 294-nucleotide ribosomal RNA is filed under the name uncultured bacterium. RNAcentral's name for it is "partial 16S ribosomal RNA". It matches the Rfam family "Bacterial small subunit ribosomal RNA", at positions 334 to 619 of the family's 1533-position model. The record is from RNAcentral.
UCUGCCUACGGGGCGCAGCAGUUAGGAAUAUUCGUCAAUGGGGGAAACCCUGAACGAGCAAUGCCGCGUAAAGGAUGACGGUCCUAUGGAUUGUAAACUUCUGUUGUUAGGGAAGAACGACCUAAGUAGGAAAUGACUUAGGAGUGACGGUACCUUUCAAGAAAGCUCCGGCUAACUACGUGCCAGCAGCCGCGGUAAUACGUAGGGAGCGAGCGUUAUCCGGAUUUAUUGGGUGUAAAGGGUGCGUAGGAGGCUUCUUAAGUCUGUAGUCUAAGCCCGGAGCUUACCUCCGGU